This 498-nucleotide ribosomal RNA is filed under the name uncultured bacterium. RNAcentral's name for it is "bacterial SSU rRNA". It matches the Rfam family "Bacterial small subunit ribosomal RNA", at positions 30 to 524 of the family's 1533-position model. The record is from RNAcentral.
AUUGAACGCUGGCGGAAUGCUUUACACAUGCAAGUCGAACGGCAGCACGGGGCAACCUGGUGGCGAGUGGCGAACGGGUGAGUAAUAUAUCGGAACGUGCCCAAUCGUGGGGGAUAACGUAGCGAAAGUUACGCUAAUACCGCAUACGAUCUACGGAUGAAAGCGGGGAUCGCAAGACCUCGCGCGAAUGGAGCGGCCGAUAUCGGAUUAGGUAGUUGGUGGGGUAAAGGCUCACCAAGCCAACGAUCUGUAGCUGGUCUGAGAGGACGACCAGCCACACUGGAACUGAGACACGGUCCAGACUCCUACGGGAGGCAGCAGUGGGGAAUUUUGGACAAUGGGCGCAAGCCUGAUCCAGCCAUUCCGCGUGCAGGAUGAAGGCCUUCGGGUUGUAAACUGCUUUGUACGGAACGAAACGGUACUGCCCUAAUACGGCAGGCUAAUGACGGUACCGUAAGAAUAAGCACCGGCUAACUACGUGCCAGCAGCCGCGGUAAU